Amphiprion ocellaris (clown anemonefish) is the source of this 1255-nucleotide long non-coding RNA. The record is from Ensembl. NCBI's taxonomy places the organism in Eukaryota, Metazoa, Chordata, Actinopteri, Pomacentridae.
UUUUAUUUGCAGCCACAUUUCAGAUUCUAACAGAAGAGGCGUGUUGUGUUCCUACCACUGUUUAUCUGAUCACAGUAUCCAGCACAGCUUUCAGGGGGUAUUUGAGGGUUUAUCUAUAUCUGUCAAUCUAUCUAUCUAUAUAUACAUAUAUAUAUCUAAUUAUCUAUAUAUAGAUAUAUAUAGAUAUACACACACACCUUUUAACAUUUUUUUUCCAAUGUAUAUGUACCACCACCCUUCUUCCCUACCCCUUUUUGACAUACGUACAGAUCCAGCAUGCAUAUUUGGUAUUCUUGACUGUUGUUUUUUUGUGUAUAAAAAAAUGUCUUUAAAAAAGAAUUGUUGUUUAUCUGUUCAUGGUGUACUCAGAUCUAAAUUUAAGAUAACAAAUGUACCAUCACUGCAAACAACCGAAACAAGUUCUAGUCCUUUUUCUGUCAGUUGUAUCAUGCUAUAAAACCAUGGAAUACUGAGGAAGUGGAGCAAAAAUAUAUGCUUACUGUUGGUAGUAAGUUGUCUUGCAGCCAUGUGCACAAAGCUUUUUAACUACCUGCUCCCGGAUAAGACCAUUAAAUUGUUGUCUCUUGUUUAUACCAGCCCAGAGUUCAAGUGGUGGCCUGCUUAUUGUUCAACAGCACAAAUUUCUGUGUCAAGUUCACCUAAUUUCAUUCUGAUGUAAAAUUACUAUCCUCCAACAGAUUUAUUCAGAUUAUUUGAAUUUGGUAGAACAUUUUGAAUCGACUGAUGUUGCGGUGGAUAUGUCAAAACCCCACACUGUUCAAAAUGUGAAAAACAAAAUUCAGACUGUAACACACUGAUUCACAUACCUACAAAGAACCACUAAGACAAAAACCUAUCCAGCUGUUAGACUGACAAAAACUGGUCUUUUUCUCAUUUAAGCCUGCUUCAGGUUCCUCUCGGUAUUCUCUCUCUUGAAAUAGUUUCUCUGGUGGUUAAUCUAUCUCAGUACACAUUGCUUUGUCCAAUCAGUUGCAAUAGUUCAGUGAUUGUAGAUUCUUCGUUUGUUUAUGAGGUUAAUCUAUGUACGUUUGUUUAUCAGUGAACGUUCACUAGAAUUCUUUCUCUUGCAGAAUAAAGAAAAUAUUUUGUUCAAAUACAAAAACUGAAGUGCCUCUUUUAUUCAAGUCCUGUUCAGUUUUUGUUGCAAGGUCCAACUCUGUCUUGCAGUGACAAUUAAAAAGCCCAUGAGAUGUCGUUAAAAGAUUUUUUUAAGCACCCUCCUCUUCUCCCAUCC